This 253-nucleotide ribosomal RNA is filed under the name uncultured bacterium. Its description in RNAcentral is "partial 16S ribosomal RNA". It matches the Rfam family "Bacterial small subunit ribosomal RNA", at positions 524 to 776 of the family's 1533-position model. The record is from RNAcentral.
UACGUAGGGUGCAAGCGUUGUCCGGAAUUAUUGGGCGUAAAGAGCUCGUAGGCGGUCUGUCGCGUCGGCUGUGAAAACCCGGAGCUCAACUCCGGGCCUGCAGUCGAUACGGGCAAACUGGAGUGUUGCAGGGGAGACUGGAAUUCCUGGUGUAGCGGUGAAAUGCGCAGAUAUCAGGAGGAACACCGGUGGCGAAGGCGGGUCUCUGGACAACAACUGACGCUGAGGAGCGAAAGCGUGGGGAGCGAACAGG